UACGAGGGGGGCAAAUGUUGUUCGGAUUUACUGGGCGUAAAGCGCACGUAGGCGGACUGUUAAGUCGGGGGGGAAAUCCUGGGGCUCAACCUCAGAAUUGCCUCCGAUACUGGCAGUCUCGAGUGCGGGAGAGGUGAGUGGAAUUCCCAGUGUAGAGGUGAAAUUCGUAGAUAUUGGGAAGAACACCAGUGGCGAAGGCGGCUCACUGGCCCGUAACUGACGCUGAGGUGCGAAAGCGUGGGGAGCAAACAGG
This 253-nucleotide ribosomal RNA is filed under the name uncultured bacterium. Its description in RNAcentral is "partial 16S ribosomal RNA". It matches the Rfam family "Bacterial small subunit ribosomal RNA", at positions 524 to 776 of the family's 1533-position model. The record is from RNAcentral.